Scylla paramamosain (green mud crab) is the source of this 622-nucleotide long non-coding RNA. RefSeq lists it as uncharacterized. The record is from RefSeq and is a predicted model, not a curated record. Lineage: Eukaryota; Metazoa; Arthropoda; Malacostraca; Decapoda; Portunidae. The transcript is spliced from 3 exons.
AUUACAAGGCUGACUGAAUAAUUAAGCUUGUCUCCUGCUGUACAUCGCUACAAUGAAGAUGUGCUAUACUGAAACUGGCUUAGCGUAGGCAUUUGAGUCUGGGAGUUACGCGAUAAUGAAAUACUAGACAGUCUGGCAUGAUCAGCAGCUCAGAGAACCCGUACCAUUUACAUUGAUUCAGUGAAGUGGCUGCUGAGUGAAGGAAAGGUGUAGUCGUUGUCUGGAGUUUCCCUCGCCCUCGCUGCACGUAAAUCAGGCUCCUCCUUGCCAGGUAGCGGGAGGAACACAGCCGACGCAGCAGUCUUCUCCGCGUCGUGAAAGCUCAGAGUUACCGACGCAGCACCAAGAUGGUGAGGAUUAUCGUCCACUCACAUCGCUGCCUUGAUGAGAGACGUGAAGGAGGGAGAACUUCAGCGACACGUGAAGAAAAAAAAAAAAAAAUCUGCGCUGUUUUGGUUUUCAUAUCGCCCUUGCAUUGCUGUCGCUCCCAGAGUAUUUCCUUAAGACUUGAGCCGUCUGUCCUAGAACCUCAUUCAGAGCUGUAAGAUACGUGUACGUCAAGCGGUUGUCUGUCUAUCUUUGUAUGAAUGGCUGAAUAAAUCAAUAAAUAGACAGAUGCAUU